RNAcentral lists this small nuclear RNA (141 nucleotides) under Cebus imitator (Panamanian white-faced capuchin). RNAcentral describes it as "U4 spliceosomal RNA (ENSCCAG00000004286.1)". It matches the Rfam family "U4 spliceosomal RNA". Rfam says of the family: U4 small nuclear RNA (U4 snRNA) is a component of the major U2-dependent spliceosome. The structure of U4 snRNA from yeast and human has been reported. U4 snRNA presents a k-turn RNA motif in the 5p-SL related to recognition of Snu13 protein. Lineage: Eukaryota; Metazoa; Chordata; Mammalia; Primates; Cebidae. The record is from Rfam by way of RNAcentral.
AGCUUUGCGCAGUGGCAGUAUCGUAGCCAAUGAGGUUUAUCCAAGGCGCAAUUACUGCUAAUUGAAAACUUUUCCCAAUACCCCGCCAUGACGACUUGAAAUAUAGUCAGCACUGGCAAUUUUUGACAGUCUCUAUGGAGA